GCCCAGCGAUUGGAGAGCUGCGCCGGCCACGCCGAGGAUUCAUUAGUCAAGCAGCCUGCCCGUCACCAGGAGCUAGCACUCCAUUGGAGAAUAUUACUUGGCAAUCAAAUAAGACCCCACCUCUAAGGCGGGGCAUUGAGCCAAAUUCUCAAAUCCCGGUAGGGGAAAUCAGUCUGUCAAUCAACACACGUCCCACCUCCUCUCAAGUCUUUAGGUAACAAUACUGCCACGCUGUGACGACAUUCCUGCUUCUCCCCCGCCUACGGGCGGGCCCGUAAAGUAUAUGAUGCUCGGUGAUUGGCCGCUGGCUAGGCGAGCGGAAAGGACCAAUCUUCCGAUCGCCUCGCCGCAGUGGCCCAUUCUGAGGUGCCGAUUGGCUGGCGAGAUUAGAAGGGCUGACACUCGUUUCCUGACAGGUGAACCUUGCCCCCGAACGGACUGCGGGCUUCCAGCAAGGGAAACCCGAGGUCACAUGACUAGUCCUUAGGGGGCCGCCAUCUUGAUACUACUGGUUGCCAACUAAUGAGCUGUUGGAAGGCAGAGGAUAGAAACUUUGGCGCGGUUUCUGGAAACUGGUCUCCUGACUAGGAAAGCACCAGUAAAUGGGAUGUUGCUGGCCAUGGAGGGUUCCGAAUGGAGCUCUCCAGGAGAGAGCUUACUUUUCCCAUUCAGGUUACUGGCACCACCAUCCACUAGGUCUCCCAAACCAGAAAGCAGGGAGGAAUCAUCACUGCAGAGGUGUGAGAGCUUGGAGAUGAGAGGCCAGAUCCCAUUUAUAUUUGCGUCUCCAACGUGAGGCAGUAUGCCUAGCACAUAGAACAGGAUCUUGGAGCAGAGUCACAGUUGCUUAAAAUUUCACUGAAAAUUAUUUCAUCAGCCAUCUCAGCUUCAGUGGACUGGGAGAAGUAAAUUGAGCACGGAAGAUAAGCUCUAAGAGGUUGUGAGUUCCCUGGAAGAAAAGUCUUUUCUACUGAUCUUAACCUAAUCAAGAUUUGCAAGUUUUAUUGGUACCUAAUUUAAACUAAGUAAGCCAAUUAAAGAAAUGUGAUUUUUUAAAUAACGCUUUUGAAUCCUAAUUUUGUUGAGCACUUGAUUUUGUAACAGGCACUAUCCUAGACUCCUUAUUAUAUUAUCUCACUGACUUCUCACAAUAACCCUAUGAAGUAAAUAUUUCCAAAACUAUAACCUUUUUGGGGACGAGGAAAGAGUGAAGUAAAUUGCCCAAGUCAUGCAACUAAUUAGAAGUGAACAGGGAAUUCAAAGCCAGCUUUACAACUAAGAUCAAAAUUACUGUAAAGUUUCCUUUAAUAUACAAAAAUUACAUCAUGUAUGAUGCUGAAAUUGGAAAAAGACUAAAGUCCAACAAUAGACAAAUGAUUAGGCAAAUUAUAGUUACAUCCAAAGAUUAUUAUGCACCUAUUAAAAGGUUUACACACAGUGUAUGAUAACAUGAAAAAAUAAUUGUGUUAGGCCAAAGUAGUGGAAUGUAAAAUUGUAUAUAAAGUAUGAUUAAAAUUAUGUCUGAUUUUUUAAAAAAACAACUUGGGCAUUGGGGAAAAAGAGGAACAAGAACCAGUACAAUCUUUUCUUUGGCAGUAUGUACCAAAAGCUUUCAAAAUGUUGAGAUGCUUAACCCAGUAACUGUAUUUCCUAUGAUCUGCUCUAAAAAAUAAUCUAAAAACUGAAGAAACAUUUGAGAACAAAGAUGUUCAGCAAAGUAAAAAAACGUAAACAACUUGAAUGUCCAAGUGAGCAUUUUCAGGAAAAUUAUUGUACACACAUAGAUGUAAUUUUAUGUAGUCAGUAUGCCUUCAAAACACUUUUAAUGACAAGGAAAAAUGUUUGCAAUAUGAUGGUAAGCAGAAUUGCAGUAGACAAAAUUGUAUAUACAGUAUGAUCAUAAACUAUAAGCACAGAUAAAAGCCUGGAAAGAAAUAUGCCAAAAUGGUUGGGUUGGCCCUGUGGCCUACUGGUCAAGUUUGGCAGGCUCUGCUUCAGCGGCCUGGGUUCAGUUCCCAGGU
Long non-coding RNA from Equus quagga, 2021 nucleotides. RefSeq lists it as uncharacterized. The transcript is spliced from 3 exons. Lineage: Eukaryota; Metazoa; Chordata; Mammalia; Perissodactyla; Equidae. The record is from RefSeq and is a predicted model, not a curated record.